This 510-nucleotide ribosomal RNA is filed under the name Coxiella endosymbiont of Ixodes sp. RNAcentral's name for it is "bacterial SSU rRNA". It matches the Rfam family "Bacterial small subunit ribosomal RNA", at positions 468 to 978 of the family's 1533-position model. Lineage: Bacteria; Pseudomonadati; Pseudomonadota; Gammaproteobacteria; Legionellales; Coxiellaceae. The record is from RNAcentral. RNAcentral also lists the same sequence under 1 other name.
GUUGACGUUACCUACAGAAGAAGCACUGGCUAACUCUGUGCCAGCAGCCGCGGUAAUACAGAGAGUGCAAGCGUUAAUCGGAAUCACUGGGCGUAAAGCGCGCGUAGGUGGAUAUUUAAGUCGGAUGUGAAAGCCCUAGGCUUAACCUAGGAACUGCACUCGAUACUGGGUAUCUCGAGUAUGGUAGAGGGAAGUGGAAUUUCCGGUGUAGCGGUGAAAUGCGUAGAUAUCGGAAAGAACACCAGUGGCGAAGGCGGCUUCCUGGACCAAUACUGACACUGAGGCGCGAAAGCGUGGGGAGCAAACAGGAUUAGAGACCCUGGUAGUCCACGCCGUCAACGAUGAGAACUAGCUGUUGGAGAGUUUACUUUCUAGUAGCGAAGCUAACGCGUUAAGUUCUCCGCCUGGGGAGUACGGCCGCAAGGUUAAAACUCAAAGAAAUUGACGGGGGCCCGCACAAGCGGUGGAGCAUGUGGUUUAAUUCGAUGCAACGCGAAAAACCUUACCUAC